Molecule: small nuclear RNA, 106 nt
Filed under: Phascolarctos cinereus (koala)
Lineage: Eukaryota; Metazoa; Chordata; Mammalia; Diprotodontia; Phascolarctidae
Source: RNAcentral
UUGCUUUGUCAACAUAUAUACUAAAAUUAGAAUAAUACAGAGAAACUUAGCAUGGGUCCCAGGAAGAAUGAAAUAUAAAAUUCACCAAGCGUUGCUCCAUAUAUUU